RNAcentral lists this ribosomal RNA (293 nucleotides) under uncultured prokaryote. RNAcentral's name for it is "partial 16S ribosomal RNA". It matches the Rfam family "Bacterial small subunit ribosomal RNA", at positions 505 to 796 of the family's 1533-position model. The record is from RNAcentral.
GUGCCAGCAGCCGCGGUAACACGUAGGGGGCGAGCGUUGUCCGGAUUUAUUGGGCGUAAAGAGCUCGUAGGCGGUUGCGUAAGUCGGACGUGAAAACUCAGGGCUCAACCCUGAGAUGCCGUUCGAUACUGCGCUGACUAGAGUCCGGUAGGGGAGCAUGGAAUUCCUGGUGUAGCGGUGAAAUGCGCAGAUAUCAGGAGGAACACCAGUGGCGAAGGCGGUGCUCUGGGCCGGAACUGACGCUGAGGAGCGAAAGCAUGGGUAGCAAACAGGAUUAGAAACCCCCGUAGUCC